RNAcentral lists this ribosomal RNA (300 nucleotides) under uncultured bacterium. RNAcentral's name for it is "bacterial SSU rRNA". It matches the Rfam family "Archaeal small subunit ribosomal RNA", at positions 745 to 1044 of the family's 1478-position model. The record is from RNAcentral.
UCCAGGGUGUAAACGCUGCAGGUUUGGUGUUGGGGGUCCUACGAGGGCGCCCAGUGCCGGAGAGAAGUUGUUAAACCUGCCGCUUGGGGAGUACGUCCGCAAGGAUGAAACUUAAAGGAAUUGGCGGGGGAGCACAGCAACGGGUGGAGCGUGCGGUUCAAUUGGAUUCAACGCCGUAAAACUCACCGGGAGCGACGGUUACAUGAAGGCCAGGCUGAUGACCUUGCCUGAUUUUCCGAGAGGUGGUGCAUGGCCGUCGUCAGUUCGUACCGUAAGGCGUUCUGUUAAGUCAGAUAACGA